UAUAGGUCUGAACGAUGAAGUCCUUCGGGAUGGAUUAGUGGCGCACGGGUGAGUAUACCAUAGAUAAUGUACCUCUUAGUUCGGGAUAGCCACUGGAAACGGUGAUUAAUACCGGAUACUCCUUCUCGUUAUAAGACGAGUCGGGAAAGUUUUUUCGCUAAGAGAUCAGUCUAUGUCCUAUCAGCUAGUUGGUGAGGUAAUGGCUCACCAAGGCUAUGACGGGUAUCUGGUUUGAGAGGAUGAUCAGACACACUGGAACUGAGACACGGUCCAGACUCCUACGGGAGGCAGCAGUGAGGAAUAUUGCACAAUGGAGGAAACUCUGAUGCAGCAACGCCGCGUGGAGGAUGACGCAUUUCGGUGUGUAAACUCCUUUUAAGAGGGAAGAUUAUGACGGUACCUCUUGAAUAAGCACCGGCUAACUCCGUGCCAGCAGCCGCGGUAUUACGGAGGGUGCAAGCCUUACUCGGAAUCACUGGGCGUAAAGGGUGCGGAGGCUGACUUUUAAGUCAGGCGUGAAAUCCAAUGGCUUAACCAUUGAACUGCGCUUGAAACUGGGAGUCUAGAGUUCAGAAGGGGCAGAUGGAAUUAGUGGUGUAGGGGUAAAUCCGUAGAUAUCACUAGGAAUAUCAAAAGCGAAGGCGAUCUGCUGGGAUGAUACUGACGCUGAGGCACGAAAGCGUGGGGAGCAAACAGGGUUAGAUACCCUGGUAGUCCACGCCCUAAACGAUGAAUGCUAGUCGUCGGGGUACUCGUUACUUCGGUGAUGCACUUAACAGAUUAAGCAUUCCGCCUGGGGAGUACGGUCGCAAGAUUA
RNAcentral lists this ribosomal RNA (817 nucleotides) under uncultured bacterium. RNAcentral's name for it is "bacterial SSU rRNA". It matches the Rfam family "Bacterial small subunit ribosomal RNA", at positions 56 to 896 of the family's 1533-position model. The record is from RNAcentral.